GAAACUUGUGGCGCGAAUCGCGUGCGGAAGAAGCAGACGUCAUCAACACACGGAUCCGGAGGAUUAACGGUCCUGAGAAUUUCCCUGGGAAUAAAUCCUGGUUAAAGGCUGAGAUGAACGGAACAAAACAUCAAAAGACCGCCAAAUCCUUUUGAAGAUCCAUGGAAGGAGGCUUACAGUAGUCUGUCGGCUGUGUGAACUCCCUCCUGGCCGUCCUGAGAGCUUUCAGACAGCGUUUUCACCAGGAAAGGAUAAAGAUAAAGACAGCCACACGUUACCCUCCAGAAGAGUUUUUUGAUGGCGGGGUUUCGGUUCGUGGCUGUGUGCAGCUCCUGAAGGAGUAAAUACAGACUCUCUAGGCUGAUGUUGUCCUGCAGCAGCUCUCCGCUUAACUGAC
Long non-coding RNA from Puntigrus tetrazona (Sumatra barb), 397 nucleotides. RefSeq lists it as uncharacterized. The record is from RefSeq and is a predicted model, not a curated record. Lineage: Eukaryota; Metazoa; Chordata; Actinopteri; Cypriniformes; Cyprinidae. The transcript has 4 exons.